This 425-nucleotide long non-coding RNA is filed under the name Ananas comosus (pineapple). Its description in RNAcentral is "long non-coding RNA (ACOM_LNC001436)". Lineage: Eukaryota; Viridiplantae; Streptophyta; Magnoliopsida; Poales; Bromeliaceae. The record is from RNAcentral.
UGUUAUACUGAUAAUAUAAAUAAUAUGUAUUAAUAUAAUACAAUAAAUAAUUUUAUAAUAAAAAUAAUAUAUUAUAAUAUAUAAUAUAUUAUAUUUAUAUAAUUUAGUUUUAAUUCAAUUUAUAAUUUUAAUUAAGUUUGAAAGUAAGUAUUAGAAUAGCACUAUUCUAUCAAAAUGGUGGAAUAGCAAAUUUCUUACUAUUCCGGAAUAACCGGAAAUAACAAGAUUUGGGCGGAAUAAAAUAUUUCGGCCAAACUUUAUCUUGUUUGGUGGAAUAGUGGGAAUAACUUUCGUUAUCCCUGCUUAUCCCCGAACCAAACGGUCUGAAGGUUUUUAAUUAGUAUGGAUAAGGAUAAUAUGUGCCAAUUAAAAAAAAAAAAAGAGAGAAAAAAAAUAUGUGCCAAUUAAAAAUAAAGGGGUUAAUA